RNAcentral lists this ribosomal RNA (900 nucleotides) under uncultured archaeon. RNAcentral describes it as "bacterial SSU rRNA". It matches the Rfam family "Archaeal small subunit ribosomal RNA", at positions 455 to 1354 of the family's 1478-position model. The record is from RNAcentral.
GUGGCAGCAGCCGCGGUAAAACCAGCACCUCAAGUGGUCAGGAGGAUUAUUGGGCCUAAAGCAUCCGUAGCCUGUUCUAUAAGUUUCCGGUUAAAUCCAUUAGCUCAACUAAUGGGCUGCCGAAAAUACUGUAGAACUAGGGAGUGGGAGAGGUAGACGGUAUUCGGUAGGAAGGGGUAAAAUCCUUUGAUCUAUUGAGGACCACCUGUGGCGAAGGCGGUCUACCAGAACACGUUCGACGGUGAGGGAUGAAAGCUGGGGGAGCAAACCGGAUUAGAUACCCGGGUAGUCCCAGCUGUAAACGAUGCAGACUCGGUGAUGCCCUGGCUUGUGGCCAGUGCAGUGCCGCAGGGAAGCCGUUAAGUUUGCCGCCUGGGAAGUACGUACGCAAGUAUGAAACUUAAAGGAAUUGGCGGGGGAGCACCACAAGGGGUGAAGCCUGCGGUUCAAUUGGAGUCAACGCCAGAAAUCUUACCCGAAGAGACAGCAGAAUGAAGGUCAAGCUGGAGACUUUACCAGACAAGCUGAGAAGUGGUGCAUGGCCGUCGCCAGCUCGUGCCGUGAGAUGUCCUGUUAAGUCAGGUAACGAGCGAGAUCCCUGCCUCUAGUUGCCACCAUUACUCUCAGGAGUAGUGGGGCGAAUUAGCGGGACCGCCGCAGUUAAUGCGGAGGAAGGAAGGGGCCACGGCAGGUCAGUAUGCCCUGAAACUUUGGGGCCACACGCGGGCUGCAAUGGUAGCGACAAUGGGUUCCGAAUCCGAAAGGAGGAGGCAAUCCUCAAACGCUACCACAGUUAUGAUUGAGGGCUGCAACUCGCCCUCAUGAAUAUGGAAUCCCUAGUAACUGCGUGUCAUUACCGCGCAGUGAAUACGUCCCUGCUCCUUGCACACACCGCCCGUC